RNAcentral lists this ribosomal RNA (775 nucleotides) under uncultured Neocallimastigales. RNAcentral describes it as "partial large subunit ribosomal RNA". It matches the Rfam family "Eukaryotic large subunit ribosomal RNA", at positions 23 to 645 of the family's 3401-position model. The record is from RNAcentral. Lineage: Eukaryota; Fungi; Neocallimastigomycota; Neocallimastigomycetes; Neocallimastigales.
AAUAGAGACUCAGAGCUGCAUAUCAAUAAGCGGAGGAAAAGAAACUAACAAGGAUUCCCUUAGUAACGGCGAGUGAAGCGGGAAGAGCUCAAAUUUGAAAUCUUCCAAGGUUCUACCUUGACGAAUUGUAGUUUAAAGAAGUGUUUUCUGUUAGAUGAGUAGCAAAAGUUCCUUGGAAUGGGACAUCAUAGAGGGUGAGAAUCCCGUAUUUGGUUAUUCAUUCUAGCUUUGUGAUACACUUUCAAAGAGUCGGAUUGUUUGGGAAUGCAGUCCAAAAUGGGUGGUAAAUUUCAUCUAAAGCUAAAUAUUGGCGAGAGACCGAUAGCGAACAAGUACCGUGAGGGAAAGAUGAAAAGAACUUUGAAAAGAGAGUUAAACAGUACGUGAAAUUGUCAAAAGGGAAGCGUUUGACACCAGUGUUGUUUUUCCGAAAAUCAAUUACGAAUGGCUUGAUUCUGUGUUGUAUUGACCUUAUCAGCUUUCUUCACUUUCUUCGAGUCUUUCUUAAUGCACUUUUCGGUUAACAAGUCAACAUCAAUUUCUUUUGUUGUAAAAGAGUAUUCGGAAGGUGGCUUUCUUUUCGGAGAAAGUGUUUAUAGCCCUAUACUUCUACAAUCGGAGAGAUUGAGGUCUGCAGCGUAGAUCCUUCGGGGUUAGAUACACUUGUGCUAAGUUGUAGCUUUUCAUAGACAACUUGUUGACUAUGUUUAGUCAUGCGGCUUACUCGCUUAUGCUAUUUUACCUACGCUAGGAUGUUGAAGUCAUCGUAUCGCGC